Molecule: ribosomal RNA, 253 nt
Filed under: uncultured bacterium
Lineage: Bacteria
Description: partial 16S ribosomal RNA
Rfam family: Bacterial small subunit ribosomal RNA
Source: RNAcentral
UACGUAGGUGGCAAGCGUUGUCCGGAAUUACUGGGUGUAAAGGGAGCGCAGGCGGGAAGCCAAGUCAGCUGUGAAAACUACGGGCUUAACUUGUAGACUGCAGUUGAAACUGGUUUUCUUGAGUGAAGUAGAGGUUGGCGGAAUUCCGAGUGUAGCGGUGAAAUGCGUAGAUAUUCGGAGGAACACCGGUGGCGAAGGCAGCCAACUGGGCUUUAACUAACGCUGAGGCUCGAAAGUGUGGGGAGCAAACAGG